GAUGAACGCUGGCGGCGUGCCUAAUACAUGCAAGUCGAGCGAACGGACGAGAAGCUUGCUUCUCUGAUGUUAGCGGCGGACGGGUGAGUAACACGUGGAUAACCUACCUAUAAGACUGGGAUAACUUCGGGAAACCGGAGCUAAUACCGGAUGAUAUUUUGAACCGCAUGGUUCAAAAGUGAAAGACGGUCUUGUUGUCACUUAUAGAUGGAUCCGCGCUGCAUUAGCUAGUUGGUAAGGUAACGGCUUACCAAGGCAACGAUGCAUAGCCGACCUGGGAGGGUGAUCGGCCACACUGGAACUGAGACACGGUCCAGACUCCUACGGGAGGCAGCAGUAGGGAAUCUUCCGCAAUGGGCGAAAGCCUGACGGAGCAACGCCGCGUGAGUGAUGAAGGUCUUCGGAUCGUAAAACUCUGUUAUUAGGGAAGAACAUAUGUGUAAGUAACUGUGCACAUCUUGACGGUACCUAAUCAGAAAGCCACGGCUAACUACGUG
RNAcentral lists this ribosomal RNA (497 nucleotides) under uncultured bacterium. RNAcentral's name for it is "partial 16S ribosomal RNA". It matches the Rfam family "Bacterial small subunit ribosomal RNA", at positions 28 to 507 of the family's 1533-position model. The record is from RNAcentral.